This 253-nucleotide ribosomal RNA is filed under the name uncultured bacterium. Its description in RNAcentral is "partial 16S ribosomal RNA". It matches the Rfam family "Bacterial small subunit ribosomal RNA", at positions 524 to 776 of the family's 1533-position model. The record is from RNAcentral.
UACGUAGGGUGCAAGCGUUGUCCGGAAUUAUUGGGCGUAAAGAGCUCGUAGGCGGUUUGUCGCGUCUGCUGUGAAAACUCAGGGCCUAACCCUGAGCCUGCAGUGGGUACGGGCAGACUAGAGUGUGGUAGGGGAGAUCGGAAUUCCUGGUGUAGCGGUGGAAUGCGCAGAUAUCAGGAGGAACACCGGUGGCGAAGGCGGUUCUCUGGGCCUGUACUGACGCUGAGGAGCGAAAGCGUGGGGAGCGAACAGG